AGAGAGAGAGAGAAACAUCUGAUUGGUGUGGAGCUGUGUGGUGUGAAGGAUGAGCACAGGAAUACAUUCCUGAGGAGGACGCAAGAGAAAUGAAGGGUCCCUGAAGGAAUGAGUCUCUGACGUGUGGACAGACAGAACCGAUACACUGGACAAGAAAGUCUGCUGAAAACUCGCAUGCUCAGUUGAAGAUGAUGCCAUCAUGUGAUGAACGUGUGGUGGCGUUUGAAGACAUAAGUGGAGCACAUACCCUCUUGACAGUUUUGGAGAUUCACGUACCCAUCAUCGUCUACUUUAUGAAUCAUUGGAAUGGUCUUCUUUUUAUCAAAGGAGGAAAUCGCAUGGAUGUUUAAUGCUAACAAACUUUUUUUGGUUUCAUCAUCACCACAAAGGUGCAGUGAAUCAGGUGCCAGCACCUGAUGGCGGCUUGCCGGCUUGUUUGUGAAGACAAUUUUAACUGGAAUGGAACGUUGUUCGGAGAGCCUCCUCUCUCCUGGCUUGUUUAUUUUGUGAAGUAAAAACUGUGUUGUAUUUACUCGCGAAAUUGUUGAAAGUGAAUGCUGAGUGUUGAAUUUGAGAUAUAUUCAGAGCCAGUGUGCUGAGGACAGUGCCUUUUUUGUUUUAUUACAUUUUCUCAUGUUUUUUGGUCAGGAAGGUAAGUGAAUUUUAUUAAGUUUAUUGUGCUAGUAAGGGGGUUAAAAUGUUAUUAGUUGU
Non-coding RNA from Danio rerio (zebrafish), 711 nucleotides. NCBI's taxonomy places the organism in Eukaryota, Metazoa, Chordata, Actinopteri, Cypriniformes, Danionidae. The record is from RefSeq and is a predicted model, not a curated record.